This 260-nucleotide ribosomal RNA is filed under the name uncultured bacterium. RNAcentral's name for it is "partial 16S ribosomal RNA". It matches the Rfam family "Bacterial small subunit ribosomal RNA", at positions 95 to 354 of the family's 1533-position model. The record is from RNAcentral.
UUGGCGGACGGGUGAGUAACACGUGAGCAACCUGCCUUCGAGAGGGGAAUAACGGCUGGAAACGGUCGCUAAUACCGCAUAACAUACCGGGAGGACAUCCUGCUGGUAUCAAAGAUUUUAUCGCUCGAAGAUGGGCUCGCGUCCGAUUAGGUAGUUGGUGAGGUAACGGCUCACCAAGCCGACGAUCGGUAGCCGGACUGAGAGGUUGAACGGCCACAUUGGGACUGAGACACGGCCCAGACUCCUACGGAAGGCAGCAG